UGAAUACGAGAUGCUACGGCGUCGAAGCAGUCUAUGUCAUACUUCCAAGAAAAGCUUGCACUGUCAUAAACAAAUAAUGCCUGUACCAUAACCGACACAGGUGGGUAGGUAGAGUAUACUAAGGGGCGCGAGAUAACUCUCUCUAAGGAACUCGGCAAAAUGACUCCGUAACUUCGGGAGAAGGAGUGCCUUAUUUAUAAGGUUGCAAUAACAAGAUCCAAGCAACUGUUUACCAAAAACACAGGUCUCCGCUAAGUCGUAAGACGAUGUAUGGGGGCUGACGCCUGCCCAGUGCCAGAAGGUUAAAGAAGUUGGUUAGCAUCCGCGAAGCUGAUAACUGAAGCCCUGGUGAACGGCGGCCGUAACCAUAACGGUCCUAAGGUAGCGAAAUUCCUUGUCGGGUAAGUUCCGACCCGCACGAAAGGCGUAAUGAUUUGGAUACUGUCUCGGAGAGGGGCUCGGUGAAAUAGACUUGUCUGUGAAGAUGCGGACUACCUGCACCAGGACAGAAAGACCCUAUGAAGCUUUACUGUAACCUGAAAUUGAAAUUGGACUUUACUUGCGCAGUAUAGGUGGGAGGCGUUGAGAAUAUUCUUGCGGGAUUAUUGGAGCCAUCAGUGAGAUACCACUCUUGUAAUGUUAGAUUUCUAACUUUGUAUCAUUAUCUGGUCAAAGAACAGUUUCAGGCGGGCAGUUUGACUGGGGCGGUCGCCUCCUAAACGGUAACGGAGGCGCACAAAGGUUUCCUCUGAACGGGUAGAAAUCGUAUCUAGAGUGUAAAGGCAUAAGGAAGCUUGACUGUGAGACCUACAAGUCGAGCAGGGACGAAAGUCGGUCUUAGUGAUCUGACGGUGCUGAGUGGAAAGGCCGUCACUCAACGGAUAAAAGUUACUCUAAGGAUAACAGGCUGAUCUCCCCCAAGAGUUCACAUCGACGGGGAGGUUUGGCACCUCGAUGUCGGCUCAUCGCAUCCUGGGGCGGUAGUACGUCCCAAGGGUUGGGCUGUUCGCCCAUGAAAGCGGUACGCGAGCUGGGUUCAGAACGUCGUGAGACAGUUCGGUCCAUAUCCGGUGUAGGCGUUAGAAUAUUGAGAGGAGCCUUCUUUAGUACGAGAGGACCGAGAAGGACAUACCUCUGGUGUACCAGUUAUCGUGCCAACGGUAAACGCUGGGUAGCUAUGUGUGGAGUGGAUAACCGCUGAAAGCAUCUAAGUGGGAAGCCCACCUCAAGAUAAGUAUUCUCAUC
RNAcentral lists this ribosomal RNA (1245 nucleotides) under metagenome. RNAcentral's name for it is "bacterial LSU rRNA". It matches the Rfam family "Bacterial large subunit ribosomal RNA", at positions 1564 to 2818 of the family's 2925-position model. The record is from RNAcentral.